UCACAUGACCUUCAUCUUACUGGUGAGCACUUGUAAAUAUUGCAGUACACAUCCAUCCGUGCCACUCUCACGUGGUGUGUUUAGAAGAUAAUUAUGUCUUAGUUAAACAUAAUGAACUUUUUAGAGGCGAAGAUUACUAGUAAAACAUGGUGGGCCUUUAUGUAUCAUUAGUAGAUAACGACAAAGGUGUUGCCAGUGCUUGUUGCGUGUAUUCCUAAAUCAUAAUGCCCCAGUCCAAAGAAAUGAAAAAAUAAAAGGUGACGAGUCCUAUUUUUUUCAGUUCAAGAUAGUUUGCGAAUUUUUCGAUGUAAAUCUAGUUUGACGAGUCCUAAGGGUUCUUAAUUAGUUGGGGAGCUUUACAAAAGAUUAAGGGGGAAAAGGCUUGAAGGCUUAUUUUGUUUUAACUAUUGAUUAUUUAAAAAAUUUUAUUCCUAUGCAUACCACAGUAGGUUGUGGGGUUAGGUCACUUAUCCCUUACAUGCGGGCUGCUUUAUUAUUUUUCAAAAUUUUUUUUUGAGCUUGUUAACUGUGUUGCACUAACUCACCCCAACUCUUUGUUAUCACAUAAUGACGUGACAGAACUGAUGAUCGUGAUGAAUUUGAUUGCAGGAGGGCAGCACACACAUCUGUAUACGACAAGAACCUGGAUGAUAAUGUUAACGCAAGCGCGGUCCCUGACGACGUGAUUCAGCCAGAGUCAGACAAAUAUUGGGCACCCCAUCCGCAAACUGGUGUAUUCGGGCCUGCCACCGAGCCACACUCGGCGGCAGGCGGAGAGCGGGGCGUCUCUGCAUCACCUGCUAACACUGAUCCGAGCUCAGUUUUAGAGGAAAAGGCCUGGUUCCGCCCCACCAGCCUUGAGGACUUGGAGAAGCCGAAUCACGCUUGAGACUACCUGCAUAAAGCAUAUAUGAGUGUGCCCUGGUUUAUGAAUAAAUGCUGUGAAAUAUUACCAGCUUAUAAAGGUUUGAUGAUAUAAACUGUUAAGUACUGUGCAUGCUGGUGAGGAAGGCUUUUUUGUUUUUUUUUUCCAAAGGCGUGGAAGUAGCUAUAUAUGCAAACUUACAUAUUCAGUUGUGACAUGCUUGAUGUACGGAUGUUUGUGGAUCACGAAUUCACAGUAAUAUGUUACAAAAUAUUUGAUAAGUUUGUGAGAUUGGAUGAGGCUUUUUAUGUAAAGGCCCUUUUAAACCUUGUGG
This 1199-nucleotide unclassified non-coding RNA is filed under the name Hevea brasiliensis (rubber tree). Lineage: Eukaryota; Viridiplantae; Streptophyta; Magnoliopsida; Malpighiales; Euphorbiaceae. The record is from RNAcentral.